ACCACCGGACCCAAAUGAGAACUAGAUAAACCGGCAGCCCCUACUACGGCUACACGUCAGUCUCCACAGAACUCUCCACCAGUGACUAUGUCCAAGAAUGAAGAUGUUACUAUGAGAGCUAAAGUAUACAAGCUGCCUGCAUAUGAGACAUCGUCAGACACUUCCCAGGACAACUCGCAAAAGGAAAGUGAUGUGGAUAAAUCUAAGACCAAGUCAUCAAAAUCUUAGUUUUUAAGUUUAAAUUGUAUGGGGUACAUACCUGUAUUUUAGGCAUCUUACAGCUUAAAAAUAGAUUUUCUAUAUUUAACAAUAAAAUAAUUAGUUGUUAUAAAUUAAUUGUUACAUAUAAAAAUACAUAUGAAACAACUUCCACCAAGACCUCUGUUUCAUUGUAAGUUUUACUCUUAAGCCAGAAUUUGACGUUCUUUUUACUUUCUAUUUUAUUCAUGGCGAAAUAAUGCGUAGUUUAAUUCAAUUUAAAGUAAAGGAUUGCACCUAGAAAGCAAAAGAAUCUAUGCGACUUUUCUGGGUUUUGAUAUUUUAGCACUGCGACUGAUAGAGCAGUUAUACACGGCGAUGCACGUAUUAAUGA
Hyposmocoma kahamanoa is the source of this 592-nucleotide long non-coding RNA. RefSeq lists it as uncharacterized. The transcript has 4 exons. Lineage: Eukaryota; Metazoa; Arthropoda; Insecta; Lepidoptera; Cosmopterigidae. The record is from RefSeq and is a predicted model, not a curated record.